UUGGGGCAUUUGGGGACAUUUUGGGGUAAUUUUGGGCCAUUUUGGGGACCCGCAGGUGCCACCAUGAAGUUCUGGGUCGCGCUGGUGGCGGGUGACGCUGCUGGCAGGCUGCGGGGCUGACGACCCCCUCCCUCACGCCGACGCCCCCCGCCCCCCCCCGCGCUGCCCUCGAAGCUCUGGGGGCUCCUGGGGACCCUGGAGGGGGUGGCCAAAAACGCGACCGAGAGGCUGCGGGAGAGUCCCCUGGGCCAGCGGCUGCAGAACGCGCUGCGGGAGCUGCGGGAGCUGCGGGAGCUCCCAUAGGGACUCUGUAGGG
Molecule: long non-coding RNA, 316 nt
Organism: Corvus hawaiiensis (hawaiian crow)
Lineage: Eukaryota; Metazoa; Chordata; Aves; Passeriformes; Corvidae
Exons: 3
Source: RefSeq, a predicted model, not a curated record